AAAUUAAUGUUCUAAAGAAUACUAAGAUCCAGCUUCUUGUGGGACAGAGGCUGUAACCAUCUUCUUUUUUUGUCUUAACCUUAACACAAUGGUUGGGACAUAAUAGGCGCUCAGUAAAUAAGCUAAUUAAUCGGGGAGUUGUUUGGGAGAACCCGCGGAGGUUUGUGGUUGGGUUCCCUCGGCCCUUAUCGAAGCUGCCCCGCUCGGCCCGUGGCUGGCGCAGUCAAAAAGGAGCCCAAAGUGACCAUUUUCCUCGACGGUCGCGGUUCGGUUUGCGGUAACCGGCCCGCAACAUUUCGGGAAAAGACAUCGGCCGAACGCUUUUGGAGAGCCUAAAGGCGCGGUGGGAACCCAAGGGUCAGCCCAUUUUUGUCUUUUUCGCCCCCAGACCCGGAACCAGCUGUCAACAUGAAGUGGAGAGCGGAUCCCUGCCGGCCUCGUGGCCUGGAGUCCAGGGCUAACACGCCGGAGCCCGGCUAGGGGCCUGACCAGAGACCAGACUUGCCAAGGAGAGGAGGGCGGAUUCGCCAACGGCACAGGUGAGAGGCAAACGGCCGAUGCCCCCUCCCCAUCCCUCCGGAUCCCUUUCCCAUCAGGUCUGCACACCGACCUUGGUGGUCGUAAAAGGAGGGAAAGGAACUGGGCGCGGGCCGCCUGUCCGGUGUGGAGACAACGGACAAGGCCCGGUCCUCACAGUAACCCGAGAAAGCCCCUGUCCGGUAGUGGGAGGGCCUUGGAGCUGCUUCCUAAUUUGCGUUCCCUAUUCCCACAGAGGCCUGAGCGAUGGCGGUGAGGCCCCAGACCUGCUUGCCACUGUUAGGCGGUGGUGGUAUGUUGGAUGUGAAGAGCCGUGAAAGUUGGAGGCCCGUGCCUUGCUGACCUGGAAAGCAAGCAGAAAGGAUUUCCCCCUGCCCGUACGUAUGUCUGCAACUGACCUCAUGGCCAGAAAGGACUCCUGUUGUGUAGUCUCAAACACUUAAUAAUAAAGGACCUAAGUAAAUAUGAUCA
Long non-coding RNA from Tachyglossus aculeatus (Australian echidna), 1008 nucleotides. RefSeq lists it as uncharacterized. The transcript is spliced from 3 exons. NCBI's taxonomy places the organism in Eukaryota, Metazoa, Chordata, Mammalia, Monotremata, Tachyglossidae. The record is from RefSeq and is a predicted model, not a curated record.